AACGCACAUUGCGCCCCUUGGUAUUCCAUGGGGCAUGCCUGUUCGAGCGUCAUCUACACCCUCAAGCUCUGCUUGGUGUUGGGCGUCUGUCCCGCCUUCGCGCGCGGACUCGCCCCAAAUUCAUUGGCAGCGGUCCUUGCCUCCUCUCGCGCAGCACAAUUGCGUCUGCGGGGGGGCGUGGCCCGCGUCCACGAAGCAACAUUACCGUCUUUGACCUCGGAUCAGUUAGGGAUACCCGCUGAACUUAA
This 248-nucleotide unclassified non-coding RNA is filed under the name uncultured Didymosphaeriaceae. RNAcentral describes it as "sequence contains ITS2". The record is from RNAcentral. Lineage: Eukaryota; Fungi; Ascomycota; Dothideomycetes; Pleosporales; Didymosphaeriaceae.